UGUUUUCUUAUUACCCUUUAUGUAAGGUCUUAUUAAUUGUCAGUUUGUUUUGAAUUAUUUUAUUAGAGUGAUUUUUUGUAAAAUCAGGAGGGGAGUGUAGUGCCCCGGAAUUAAUCUUUCCGGAUUUGUUGGUUUUUACCUUACUUUUAUUGUUUACCGGAAACGAUCUAAGGCAUCAGUGCCAACCUCGUGGGUUCCAGAACCCAGCUUAUUUUACUGCAUUUAAAGCCACCUAUGAAUUUUUCACCCUCUCCGGGGGUUUGGAUGCAAUAAACUCAUUCAACAUUGCACAACA
This is a long non-coding RNA of Saccostrea cuccullata (small rock oyster), 295 nucleotides long. RefSeq lists it as uncharacterized. Lineage: Eukaryota; Metazoa; Mollusca; Bivalvia; Ostreida; Ostreidae. The record is from RefSeq and is a predicted model, not a curated record. The transcript has 2 exons.